CCUACGGGUGGCAGCAGUGAGGAAUAUUGGUCAAUGGCCGGAAGGCUGAACCAGCCAUGCCGCGUGAAGGUCAGUGCCCUAUGGGCGUUAAACUUCUUUUGUGCGGGAGCAAUAAUGGUCACGUGUGGCCAGACGAGAGUACCGUACGAAUAAGCAUCGGCUAACUCCGUGCCAGCAGCCGCGGUAAUACGGGGGAUGCAAGCGUUAUCCGGAUUUAUUGGGUUUAAAGGGUGCGUAGGCUGUGAGGUAAGUCAGCGGUCAAAUUGCGGGGCUCAACCCCGUACUGCCGUUGAAACUGCAUCCCUUGAGUGCGCGAGAAGUAUGCGGAAUUCCUAGUGUAGCGGUGAAAUGCGUAGAUAUUAGGAGGAACACCAGUGGCGAAGGCGGCUUACUGGACUGUAACUGACGUUGAGGCUCGAAAGCGUGGGGAGCAAACAGGAUUAGAUACCCCAGUAGUC
RNAcentral lists this ribosomal RNA (458 nucleotides) under uncultured bacterium. RNAcentral's name for it is "partial 16S ribosomal RNA". It matches the Rfam family "Bacterial small subunit ribosomal RNA", at positions 338 to 795 of the family's 1533-position model. The record is from RNAcentral.